CUAAAAACAAAUCAUUAAGUAUUAUCUAAAGUCAAAUUGCACCAACUGUCUGACUGAGGCUGGUCCAAGUCUGGCCUUAUCAGCAUUCAGCACCACUGCCCCAGGAUGGAUGAGGAAACAGAACACCACUAAAGGGUAAGCCAGAGACAGAGGGCCCCUGUUCUUGUUUGUUCUGCAAAGCCCUUUAUGUUCUUCUGGAAGAUAGAAAAAGAUAUAUCUGACUGAGAAACAGAACUUUUCACUAUCUUUGAUCAACUGGCUAGAAGAUGUCUCUUUUUCUCUCACUUCUGCUCUUUGCAGGCACUGCAGGAACUCACAUCUCCUGGCAUUGGGAUUGGCAUGGUGUUCAAGGCUGCUCGUCUGCAGACCUUUCUGUGGAUGGAAGGCACCUGGCAGCUGGCUCUCGAGACUGCCAUCCACAGACCAGCCGGAGCACGUGCACAUACCUGCCUUCAGCCGGACCAACACCAGACGAGUCAUCUGGUGCCAAAGAAGGUUUCUUCAGGAUCAGAAUAACUAAAACUUCCUUAACAUAUGCAGGAGUCCUUCCAGAUUGCAAAAUGAAAAUCACUGCCCGGAAUCACUGCAUUCAAAGAGCUGUAUAGUUAAGCCAAAAACAGCCUUGGGUCAACUCCUGCCCUGGUUCUGUGCAGAAGUCCCACUAUAUCCCAAAGACUCAGCGCACUUUAAAUAUACGUCAAAAGUAGCAUGUGCUGGCCAGGAGAUAUUUUACUAAGCGG
RNAcentral lists this long non-coding RNA (740 nucleotides) under Lepidothrix coronata (blue-crowned manakin). RNAcentral describes it as "lncRNA (ENSLCOG00000000779.1)". The record is from RNAcentral. Lineage: Eukaryota; Metazoa; Chordata; Aves; Passeriformes; Pipridae.